CUUCGUAGGAGGACGAGGCUUCAUCAACGGUUCAGAAAUCCAUAUUCCUCCCUAAAAUCUGACCAGAAGGAACAGAUUGAUGAUUUCGGCCAUCUCAUUUUCCUUGUGUUGUUUAACUUUACCUAACAAGCAUCAGAAAUACCGGGAUCAACAACAACAAAAUACAUGUCCAAGCUGUGCCCAAACCUUUUCAGUAAGAGCAAAAAAAUCUUUAGUCUGCUUCUGGGGAAAAAGAAGAAGAUGAGUGAGGGGGGCUUAAAGGCCAGGUCCUCACCACCUCUUGGGACCUGUCAGAGGAGGAGACGGUGGAUCACACUGCCCUUAGAUUUGUGUUUGAGAAGUUACUUGAUUGAUAUACACUGAGUGUACAAAACAUUAUGAACACCUGCUCUUUCCAUGACAUAGACUGAUCAGGUGAAUCCAGGUGAAAGCUAUGAUCCCUUAUUGAUGUAUUUGUAUUUAUUAUGGAUCCCCAUUAGUUCCUGCCAAGGCAGCAGCUACUCUUCCCGGAGUCCAGCAAACAUUAAGGAAUAUACAUAUACAUUAUAAUACCAUUUCACAAUAGAUUAAUUGUGUGCCCUCCAGGCACUACCUUACUACAACACAAUCCAGGUGUACGUGUGUGUAUAAUGUGUAUGUAUGUGUGUGUUUGUAUGUCACCUGUUAAAACCUCCACAGGAUCGGUGGGUCCCCCGUGGGAUGGUUGAGUAGGCUAAUGUGAUUAGCAUGAGGUUGUAAGUAACAAGAACAUUUCCCAGGACAUAGACAUGUCUGAUAUUGGCAGAAAGCUUAAAUUCUUAUUCAUCUAACUGCACUGUCCAAUUU
Salmo salar (Atlantic salmon) is the source of this 825-nucleotide long non-coding RNA. RefSeq lists it as uncharacterized. The record is from RefSeq and is a predicted model, not a curated record. NCBI's taxonomy places the organism in Eukaryota, Metazoa, Chordata, Actinopteri, Salmoniformes, Salmonidae.